RNAcentral lists this ribosomal RNA (776 nucleotides) under Bacillus subtilis. RNAcentral describes it as "LSU rRNA". It matches the Rfam family "Bacterial large subunit ribosomal RNA", at positions 1 to 772 of the family's 2925-position model. Lineage: Bacteria; Bacillati; Bacillota; Bacilli; Caryophanales; Bacillaceae. The record is from RNAcentral.
GGUUAAGUUAGAAAGGGCGCACGGUGGAUGCCUUGGCACUAGGAGCCGAUGAAGGACGGGACGAACACCGAUAUGCUUCGGGGAGCUGUAAGCAAGCUUUGAUCCGGAGAUUUCCGAAUGGGGAAACCCACCACUCGUAAUGGAGUGGUAUCCAUAUCUGAAUUCAUAGGAUAUGAGAAGGCAGACCCGGGGAACUGAAACAUCUAAGUACCCGGAGGAAGAGAAAGCAAAUGCGAUUCCCUGAGUAGCGGCGAGCGAAACGGGAUUAGCCCAAACCAAGAGGCUUGCCUCUUGGGGUUGUAGGACACUCUGUACGGAGUUACAAAAGAACGAGGUAGAUGAAGAGGUCUGGAAAGGCCCGCCAUAGGAGGUAACAGCCCUGUAGUCAAAACUUCGUUCUCUCCUGAGUGGAUCCUGAGUACGGCGGAACACGUGAAAUUCCGUCGGAAUCCGGGAGGACCAUCUCCCAAGGCUAAAUACUCCCUAGUGACCGAUAGUGAACCAGUACCGUGAGGGAAAGGUGAAAAGCACCCCGGAAGGGGAGUGAAAGAGAUCCUGAAACCGUGUGCCUACAAGUAGUCAGAGCCCGUUAACGGGUGAUGGCGUGCCUUUUGUAGAAUGAACCGGCGAGUUACGAUCCCGUGCAAGGUUAAGCAGAAGAUGCGGAGCCGCAGCGAAAGCGAGUCUGAAUAGGGCGCAUGAGUACGUGGUCGUAGACCCGAAACCAGGUGAUCUACCCAUGUCCAGGGUGAAGUUCAGGUAACACUGAAUGGAGG